This 254-nucleotide ribosomal RNA is filed under the name uncultured bacterium. Its description in RNAcentral is "partial 16S ribosomal RNA". It matches the Rfam family "Bacterial small subunit ribosomal RNA", at positions 524 to 776 of the family's 1533-position model. The record is from RNAcentral.
UACAGAGGGGGCAAGCGUUAUUCGGAAUUAUUGGGCGUAAAGGGCGCGUAGGCGGCAUGGCAAGUGGAUGGUGAAAUCCCUCGGCUUAACCGAGGAACUGCCGUCCAAAACUGCUUCGCUUGAGACCGGGAGAGGUGAGUGGAAUUCCCAGUGUAGCGGUGAAAUGCGUAGAUAUUGGGAGGAACACCAGUGGCGAAGGCGGCUCACUGGACCGGUACUGACGCUGAUGCGCGAAAGCGUGGGGAGCAAACGGG